This 497-nucleotide ribosomal RNA is filed under the name uncultured bacterium. RNAcentral describes it as "partial 16S ribosomal RNA". It matches the Rfam family "Bacterial small subunit ribosomal RNA", at positions 28 to 507 of the family's 1533-position model. The record is from RNAcentral.
GAUGAACGCUGGCGGCGUGCCUAAUACAUGCAAGUCGAGCGAACAGACGAGGAGCUUGCUCCUCUGACGUUAGCGGCGGACGGGUGAGUAACACGUGGAUAACCUACCUAUAAGACUGGGAUAACUUCGGGAAACCGGAGCUAAUACCGUAUAAUAUAUUGAACCGCAUGGUUCAAUAGUGAAAGACGGUUUUGCUGUCACUUAUAGAUGGAUCCGCGCCGCAUUAGCUAGUUGGUAAGGUAACGGCUUACCAAGGCAACGAUGCGUAGCCGACCUGAGAGAGUGAUCGGCCACACUGGAACUGAGACACGGUCCAGACGACUAAGGGAGGCAGCAGUAGGGAAUCUUACGCAAUGGGCGAAAGCAUGACGGAGCAACGCCGCGUGAGUGAUGAAGGUCUUCGGAUCGUAAAAAUCUGUUAUUAGGGAAGAACAAAUGUGUAAGUAACUAUGCACGUCUUGACGGUACCUAAUCAGAAAGCCACGGCUAACUACGUG